RNAcentral lists this ribosomal RNA (492 nucleotides) under uncultured bacterium. Its description in RNAcentral is "partial 16S ribosomal RNA". It matches the Rfam family "Bacterial small subunit ribosomal RNA", at positions 29 to 507 of the family's 1533-position model. The record is from RNAcentral.
AGUGAACGCUGGCGGUAGGCCUAACACAUGCAAGUCGAACGGCAGCACAGUAAGAUCUUGCUCUUACGGGUUGCGAGUGGCGGACGGGUGAGGAAUACAUCGGAAUCUACUUUUUCGUGGGGGAUAACGUAGGGAAACUUACGCUAAUACCGCAUACGACCUACGGGUGAAAGCAGGGGAUCUUCGGACCUUGCGCGAUUGAAUGAGCCGAUGUCGGAUUAGCUAGUUGGCGGGGUAAAGGCCCACCAAGGCGACGAUCCGUAGCUGGUCUGAGAGGAUGAUCAGCCACACUGGAACUGAGACACGGUCCAGACUCCUACGGGAGGCAGCAGUGGGGAAUAUUGGACAAUGGGCGCAAGCCUGAUCCAGCAAUACCGCGUGGGUGAAGAAGGCCUUCGGGUUGUAAAGCCCUUUUGUUGGGAAAGAAAAGCAGCAGGUUAAUACCCCGAUGUUCUGACGGUACCCAAAGAAUAAGCACCGGCUAACUUCGUG